Molecule: long non-coding RNA, 1019 nt
Organism: Ictalurus punctatus (channel catfish)
Lineage: Eukaryota; Metazoa; Chordata; Actinopteri; Siluriformes; Ictaluridae
Exons: 2
Source: RefSeq, a predicted model, not a curated record
GCAGUCUGCCCCUCAGGCACCCCAGCCCGUAGUGGCACUUGAGCCCCCCUUCUCUGUCUCACUCUUGGAGAUUAGAUACGGUCUCUGUACCUGCUGACGUAAACACUGGUGGUCAAAUGCACGCAAAGGCCACGGCUGUUGACAGGACGUGUCUGCCUCUGCUUUUGUAAGUAUCUGCUUUACAUGAUGGAUCUAGAGUCUAUCCUGGGAACACUGGGUAUGAGGCCUGAAUACACCCUGGCUGGGACACCAGACGAUUACAGGACAUGUUGUACACAUACAUUCACGCCAAGGACUAAUUUAUCUUAGCCAAUCCAUCUACUGGCAUGUUUUUGGGAGCCCACAGACAUGAAGAGAACAUGCACAGAAACUCCACACAGACAGUAAUCCCAGCUCAGAAGCAAACCAGAGACUCUGGAUCUGUGAGGCAGCAAUGCUACCCAAUGCUCCACCAUGCUGCUGCUGAAUAGUGUUAAAAUAUUGAUGGUAUUUAGCAGUAAAUAAUAACAUAACCAUAAAAAAUUCAAUCAAACUAUAAAUUACAUUCGUGUUUACAAUUGCAUAAAUUCUCUUAGGGACACUGUGGAGAAGAGUUCUGAGGAAAUUGGCUGGUAUAUUGUUUUUAGGCUUCUUGGAGAACUUUUUGUUGCACAAGUAAAAUCCCAGACAUCCUUGAUGAUGUGCUCUGUUACUUAUUAUGGCCCAUUGCAAAACAAAACACAAAAAUUUCUCUGUAUCACUGAGUCUUUCGGAAAUCUAUUUUUCUACUGAUAUACUGAUACAGUAUAUAUAAAAUUAGAAUGAAAGAUAAAAUUUUGUGUGAUUAAAACCUUUGCACUGUAUAUAUUCUGGGAAUCUGGUUUCUCUGGGAAAGCUUUCCAAUUAUAAUGUUUUUAUGUGUUUAAUGUGUUUGUUGUGAACAUUCUUUGAAUAUGCAUUGGAGUCAGAAAGUCUGAUUUCUUGUCUAUUGCAUUACAAACUCAAUACAAGCAUAGUACAAGUGUAAAUGUACUUCAGAA